UACGGAGGGUGCAAGCGUUAUCCGGAAUCACUGGGUUUAAAGGGUGCGUAGGCGGCUUGAUAAGUCAGGGGUGAAAGCCCGCGGCUUAACUGCGGAACUGCCUUUGAUACUGUCGAGCUUGAAAGAGGUUGGGGUCAGCGGAACAUGACAUGUAGCGGUGAGAUGCAUAGAUAUGUAACAGAAAACCGAUUGCGAAGGCAGCUGGCUGGACCUACUUUGACGCUGAGGAACGAAAGCGUGGGGAGCAAACAGG
RNAcentral lists this ribosomal RNA (253 nucleotides) under uncultured bacterium. Its description in RNAcentral is "partial 16S ribosomal RNA". It matches the Rfam family "Bacterial small subunit ribosomal RNA", at positions 524 to 776 of the family's 1533-position model. The record is from RNAcentral.